AGUGAACGCUGGCGGUAGGCCUAACACAUGCAAGUCGAACGGCAGCACAGUAAGAGCUUGCUCUUACGGGUGGCGAGUGGCGGACGGGUGAGGAAUACAUCGGAAUCUACUUUUUCGUGGGGGAUAACGUAGGGAAACUUACGCUAAUACCGCAUACGACCUACGGGUGAAAGCAGGGGAUCUUCGGACCUUGCGCGAUUGAAUGAGCCGAUAUCGGAUUAGCUAGUUGGCGGGGUAAAGGCCCACCAAGGCGACGAUCCGUAGCUGGUCUGAGAGGAUGAUCAGCCACACUGGAACUGAGACACGGUCCAGACUCCUACGGGAGGCAGCAGUGGGGAAUACUGGACAAUGGGCGCAAGCCUGAUCCAGCCAUACCGCGUGGGUGAAGAAGGCCUUCGGGUUGUAAAGCCCUUUUGUUGGGAAAGAAAAGCAGCAGGUUAAUACCCCGCUGUUCUGACGGUACCCAAAGAAUAAGCACCGGCUAACUUCGUG
This 492-nucleotide ribosomal RNA is filed under the name uncultured bacterium. RNAcentral describes it as "partial 16S ribosomal RNA". It matches the Rfam family "Bacterial small subunit ribosomal RNA", at positions 29 to 507 of the family's 1533-position model. The record is from RNAcentral.